GCGCCCUUAGCUCAGUUGGUAGAGCAACUGACUCUUAAUCAGUGGGUCGAAAGUUCGAAUCUUUCAGGGCGCA
Candidatus Brocadia sinica JPN1 is the source of this 73-nucleotide transfer RNA. It matches the Rfam family "tRNA". From Rfam's summary of the family: Transfer RNA (tRNA) molecules are approximately 80 nucleotides in length. Their secondary structure includes four short double-helical elements and three loops (D, anti-codon, and T loops). NCBI's taxonomy places the organism in Bacteria, Pseudomonadati, Planctomycetota, Candidatus Brocadiia, Candidatus Brocadiales, Candidatus Brocadiaceae. The record is from Rfam.